This 2400-nucleotide ribosomal RNA is filed under the name Staphylococcus aureus. Its description in RNAcentral is "partial 23S ribosomal RNA". It matches the Rfam family "Bacterial large subunit ribosomal RNA", at positions 518 to 2925 of the family's 2925-position model. Lineage: Bacteria; Bacillati; Bacillota; Bacilli; Caryophanales; Staphylococcaceae. The record is from RNAcentral.
AAAGCACCCCGGAAGGGGAGUGAAAUAGAACCUGAAACCGUGUGCUUACAAGUAGUCAGAGCCCGUUAAUGGGUGAUGGCGUGCCUUUUGUAGAAUGAACCGGCGAGUUACGAUUUGAUGCAAGGUUAAGCAGUAAAUGUGGAGCCGUAGCGAAAGCGAGUCUGAAUAGGGCGUUUAGUAUUUGGUCGUAGACCCGAAACCAGGUGAUCUACCCUUGGUCAGGUUGAAGUUCAGGUAACACUGAAUGGAGGACCGAACCGACUUACGUUGAAAAGUGAGCGGAUGAACUGAGGGUAGCGGAGAAAUUCCAAUCGAACCUGGAGAUAGCUGGUUCUCUCCGAAAUAGCUUUAGGGCUAGCCUCAAGUGAUGAUUAUUGGAGGUAGAGCACUGUUUGGACGAGGGGCCCCUCUCGGGUUACCGAAUUCAGACAAACUCCGAAUGCCAAUUAAUUUAACUUGGGAGUCAGAACAUGGGUGAUAAGGUCCGUGUUCGAAAGGGAAACAGCCCAGACCACCAGCUAAGGUCCCAAAAUAUAUGUUAAGUGGAAAAGGAUGUGGCGUUGCCCAGACAACUAGGAUGUUGGCUUAGAAGCAGCCAUCAUUUAAAGAGUGCGUAAUAGCUCACUAGUCGAGUGACACUGCGCCGAAAAUGUACCGGGGCUAAACAUAUUACCGAAGCUGUGGAUUGUCCUUUGGACAAUGGUAGGAGAGCGUUCUAAGGGCGUUGAAGCAUGAUCGUAAGGACAUGUGGAGCGCUUAGAAGUGAGAAUGCCGGUGUGAGUAGCGAAAGACGGGUGAGAAUCCCGUCCACCGAUUGACUAAGGUUUCCAGAGGAAGGCUCGUCCGCUCUGGGUUAGUCGGGUCCUAAGCUGAGGCCGACAGGCGUAGGCGAUGGAUAACAGGUUGAUAUUCCUGUACCACCUAUAAUCGUUUUAAUCGAUGGGGGGACGCAGUAGGAUAGGCGAAGCGUGCGAUUGGAUUGCACGUCUAAGCAGUAAGGCUGAGUAUUAGGCAAAUCCGGUACUCGUUAAGGCUGAGCUGUGAUGGGGAGAAGACAUUGUGUCUUCGAGUCGUUGAUUUCACACUGCCGAGAAAAGCCUCUAGAUAGAAAAUAGGUGCCCGUACCGCAAACCGACACAGGUAGUCAAGAUGAGAAUUCUAAGGUGAGCGAGCGAACUCUCGUUAAGGAACUCGGCAAAAUGACCCCGUAACUUCGGGAGAAGGGGUGCUCUUUAGGGUUAACGCCCAGAAGAGCCGCAGUGAAUAGGCCCAAGCGACUGUUUAUCAAAAACACAGGUCUCUGCUAAACCGUAAGGUGAUGUAUAGGGGCUGACGCCUGCCCGGUGCUGGAAGGUUAAGAGGAGUGGUUAGCUUCUGCGAAGCUACGAAUCGAAGCCCCAGUAAACGGCGGCCGUAACUAUAACGGUCCUAAGGUAGCGAAAUUCCUUGUCGGGUAAGUUCCGACCCGCACGAAAGGCGUAACGAUUUGGGCACUGUCUCAACGAGAGACUCGGUGAAAUCAUAGUACCUGUGAAGAUGCAGGUUACCCGCGACAGGACGGAAAGACCCCGUGGAGCUUUACUGUAGCCUGAUAUUGAAAUUCGGCACAGCUUGUACAGGAUAGGUAGGAGCCUUUGAAACGUGAGCGCUAGCUUACGUGGAGGCGCUGGUGGGAUACUACCCUAGCUGUGUUGGCUUUCUAACCCGCACCACUUAUCGUGGUGGGAGACAGUGUCAGGCGGGCAGUUUGACUGGGGCGGUCGCCUCCUAAAAGGUAACGGAGGCGCUCAAAGGUUCCCUCAGAAUGGUUGGAAAUCAUUCAUAGAGUGUAAAGGCAUAAGGGAGCUUGACUGCGAGACCUACAAGUCGAGCAGGGUCGAAAGACGGACUUAGUGAUCCGGUGGUUCCGCAUGGAAGGGCCAUCGCUCAACGGAUAAAAGCUACCCCGGGGAUAACAGGCUUAUCUCCCCCAAGAGUUCACAUCGACGGGGAGGUUUGGCACCUCGAUGUCGGCUCAUCGCAUCCUGGGGCUGUAGUCGGUCCCAAGGGUUGGGCUGUUCGCCCAUUAAAGCGGUACGCGAGCUGGGUUCAGAACGUCGUGAGACAGUUCGGUCCCUAUCCGUCGUGGGCGUAGGAAAUUUGAGAGGAGCUGUCCUUAGUACGAGAGGACCGGGAUGGACAUACCUCUGGUGUACCAGUUGUCGUGCCAACGGCAUAGCUGGGUAGCUAUGUGUGGACGGGAUAAGUGCUGAAAGCAUCUAAGCAUGAAGCCCCCCUCAAGAUGAGAUUUCCCAACUUCGGUUAUAAGAUCCCUCAAAGAUGAUGAGGUUAAUAGGUUCGAGGUGGAAGCAUGGUGACAUGUGGAGCUGACGAAUACUAAUCGAUCGAAGACUUAAUCAA